GCCGGGCGCGGUGGCUCACGCCUGUAAUCCCAGCAUUUUGGGAGGCCGAGGUGGGUGGAUCACCUGAGGUCAGGAGUUUGAGACCAGCCUGGCCAACAUGGUGAAACCCCAUCUCUA
RNAcentral lists this non-coding RNA (117 nucleotides) under Nomascus leucogenys (northern white-cheeked gibbon). Lineage: Eukaryota; Metazoa; Chordata; Mammalia; Primates; Hylobatidae. The record is from Rfam by way of RNAcentral.